UGAUCAAAGAUGGCCUGAUCAUCCGG
This 26-nucleotide non-coding RNA is filed under the name Rattus norvegicus (Norway rat). Lineage: Eukaryota; Metazoa; Chordata; Mammalia; Rodentia; Muridae. The record is from RNAcentral.